Molecule: long non-coding RNA, 764 nt
Filed under: Lathyrus oleraceus (garden pea)
Lineage: Eukaryota; Viridiplantae; Streptophyta; Magnoliopsida; Fabales; Fabaceae
Description: Pisum sativum (pea) long non-coding RNA (PSAT_LNC012107)
Source: RNAcentral
GGCACACGGGUGCCCGUGUUGACCUGCUGUUUCUUCAUAUUUUUGCCUUUCAGAGUGUCCAUAACUUCACCAUUCUUGCUUUUAAACCUGUGCAAUGGCCUGUAACAAUGACACUACCAAACGAAGCAUAAACGAGAUCUUUUUGACAUAAACUUGUAAUCGAAUGCAAUGCGAUACCAAACCAACAAAACAUGAUAAAUGACUCCAAAGCAACUAAAAACAAACAUAAAUCUUACAAAAGUGAUGACAAUAUGUCGGAUUAACGGCGGGAAUUCAAUGGAAAUGGUGACCGAUCACAACCCCAAACUUGUCUCAAUGUUUGUCCUCAAGUGAUGUAUUGAGUCCAAACAAAGGUCACCCUUGAAUUCAUUUUCCACAAUGCAACCUAGUCUUUCACCAUUUGUGUUCUUCCUUUGCAAUCGAGUUUCAGGUCUCUCCGAUUCAGGCAGUUUACCACAUUUCCACAUCAGAAACCUCUUCACCUGCAAGCUUUUCACACACUCGCAAUAUCUCUCAGGGUUAGGUGUGUACACUCACAGCACAGUGUCGCAUUACGCGAAAAACCGGCAGGAAAACAAGACAACAGAGCCGCCACCGUGCGUUAUUUAUCCCAAAAGAGGGAAAGGAAACGCUCAGAGUAAACCUGGAAAAGACAUGGUCUCGCGACCAAAGAGAAUGGGAUCGGGAGUCGGUUAUGCGAAGGGAAGGUAUUAGCACCCCUACGCAUCCGUCGUACUCGACGGGAUCCACGCACAAUAGGAAGG